UGGGUUGGGCACCUUGGGUGU
This 21-nucleotide unclassified non-coding RNA is filed under the name Chlamydomonas reinhardtii. RNAcentral's name for it is "small RNA Cre_3423". Lineage: Eukaryota; Viridiplantae; Chlorophyta; Chlorophyceae; Chlamydomonadales; Chlamydomonadaceae. The record is from RNAcentral.